AAACGGGAAGAGCCCAAACCAACAAGCUUGCUUGUUGGGGUUGUAGGACACUCUAUACGGAGUUACAAAGGACGACAUUAGACGAAUCAUCUGGAAAGAUGAAUCAAAGAAGGUAAUAAUCCUGUAGUCGAAAAUGUUGUCUCUCUUGAGUGGAUCCUGAGUACGACGGAGCACGUGAAAUUCCGUCGGAAUCUGGGAGGACCAUCUCCUAAGGCUAAAUACUCUCUAGUGACCGAUAGUGAACCAGUACCGUGAGGGAAAGGUGAAAAGCACCCCGGAAGGGGAGUGAAAUAGAACCUGAAACCGUGUGCUUACAAGUAGUCAGAGCCCGUUAAUGGGUGAUGGCGUGCCUUUUGUAGAAUGAACCGGCGAGUUACGAUUUGAUGCAAGGUUAAGCAGUAAAUGUGGAGCCGUAGCGAAAGCGAGUCUGAAUAGGGCGUUUAGUAUUUGGUCGUAGACCCGAAACCAGGUGAUCUACCCUUGGUCAGGUUGAAGUUCAGGUAACACUGAAUGGAGGACCGAACCGACUUACGUUGAAAAGUGAGCGGAUGAACUGAGGGUAGCGGAGAAAUUCCAAUCGAACCUGGAGAUAGCUGGUUCUCUCCGAAAUAGCUUUAGGGCUAGCCUCAAGUGAUGAUUAUUGGAGGUAGAGCACUGUUUGGACGAGGGGCCCCUCUCGGGUUACCGAAUUCAGACAAACUCCGAAUGCCAAUUAAUUUAACUUGGGAGUCAGAACAUGGGUGAUAAGGUCCGUGUUCGAAAGGGAAACAGCCCAGACCACCAGCUAAGGUCCCAAAAUAUAUGUUAAGUGGAAAAGGAUGUGGCGUUGCCCAGACAACUAGGAUGUUGGCUUAGAAGCAGCCAUCAUUUAAAGAGUGCGUAAUAGCUCACUAGUCGAGUGACACUGCGCCGAAAAUGUACCGGGGCUAAACAUAUUACCGAAGCUGUGGAUUGUCCUUUGGACAAUGGUAGGAGAGCGUUCUAAGGGCGUUGAAGCAUGAUCGUAAGGACAUGUGGAGCGCUUAGAAGUGAGAAUGCCGGUGUGAGUAGCGAAAGACGGGUGAGAAUCCCGUCCACCGAUUGACUAAGGUUUCCAGAGGAAGGCUCGUCCGCUCUGGGUUAGUCGGGUCCUAAGCUGAGGCCGACAGGCGUAGGCGAUGGAUAACAGGUUGAUAUUCCUGUACCACCUAUAAUCGUUUUAAUCGAUGGGGGGACGCAGUAGGAUAGGCGAAGCGUGCGAUUGGAUUGCACGUCUAAGCAGUAAGGCUGAGUAUUAGGCAAAUCCGGUACUCG
Molecule: ribosomal RNA, 1293 nt
Filed under: Staphylococcus aureus
Lineage: Bacteria; Bacillati; Bacillota; Bacilli; Caryophanales; Staphylococcaceae
Description: partial 23S ribosomal RNA
Rfam family: Bacterial large subunit ribosomal RNA
Source: RNAcentral